UGUAAGCGUAUACCAAAGUUGUUGCAGUUAAAACGCUCGUAGUCGGAAUUUGGCAGUUCCGGAUGUGUGCACGUCGUGUGCGCACUUCGCGGGGAUUGCUUUUGUGGUCUUGCGUAGGAUGAGGCACUUUUAUUAGUGAACGUCCUCACGCAACCACUUUUUACUGUGAGAAAAUCAGGGUGCUCAAAGCAGGCAUUUGCCGUGAAUGUAUUAGCAUGGAAUAAUAGAAUAGGACUUGGUUCUAUUUUGUUGGUUUGUUGGGACUGAGUAAUGAUUAAGAGGGACAGUUGGGGGCAUUUGUAUUUCGGUGCUAGAGGUGAAAUUCUUAGAUUACCGAAUGACAAACUGCUGUGAAAGCGUCUGCCAAGGAUGUUUUCAUUGA
RNAcentral lists this ribosomal RNA (382 nucleotides) under uncultured eukaryote. RNAcentral describes it as "partial 18S ribosomal RNA". It matches the Rfam family "Eukaryotic small subunit ribosomal RNA", at positions 592 to 976 of the family's 1831-position model. The record is from RNAcentral.